This 464-nucleotide ribosomal RNA is filed under the name uncultured bacterium. RNAcentral describes it as "bacterial SSU rRNA". It matches the Rfam family "Bacterial small subunit ribosomal RNA", at positions 29 to 506 of the family's 1533-position model. The record is from RNAcentral.
ACGAACGUUGGCGGCGUGCCUAAUACAUGCAAGUCGCGGGAGAAAACCGGGGUAACUCGGUGAGUACACCGGCGAAAGGGUGAGUAAUACAUAGAUAACGUACCCUCAGGUCUGGGAUAACUCCGCGAAAGCGGGGCUAAUACCAGGCGACGACAGGUUGGGACAUCCCGAUUUGUCCAAAGCCGAAAGGCGCCAGAGGAGCGGUCUAUGGCCUAUCAGCUAGUUGGCGGGGUAAUGGCCCACCAAGGCUUUGACGGGUAGCCGGACUGAGAGGUUGACCGGCCACACGGGAACUGAGACACGGUCCCGACACCUACGGGUGGCAGCAGUAGGGAAUAUUGCGCAAUGGGCGAAAGCCUGACGCAGCGACGCCGCGUGGGGGAUGAAGGCCUUCGGGUUGUAAACCCCUUUCAUGUGGGAAGAACACUGACUUAACCACAGGAAGAAGCACCGGCUAACUCCGU